AAGCUCGUAGUUGAAUUUCGGGCAUUGCGGUCAGGUCUUCCUUAACUGGUUGUACUUGAUUCGCUUUGUCUUACUUUCUAGAAGCUGAUGCGUCGAAAGGCGUAUCAUGUCUCUAGGACUUUUACUGUGAAUAAAUUAGAGUGUUCAAAGCAGGCUUUCGCUUGAAUACAUUAGCAUGGAAUAAUAAAAUAGGACUUUGGUUUUAUUUUGUUGGUUUUAAAGACCAAGGUAAUGAUUAAUAGGGAUAGUUGGG
This 253-nucleotide ribosomal RNA is filed under the name uncultured fungus. RNAcentral's name for it is "partial 18S ribosomal RNA". It matches the Rfam family "Eukaryotic small subunit ribosomal RNA", at positions 624 to 886 of the family's 1831-position model. Lineage: Eukaryota; Fungi. The record is from RNAcentral.